ACGUCGUGAGACAGUUCGGUCCCUAUCUGCCGUGGGCGCUGGAGAACUGAGGGGGGCUGCUCCUAGUACGAGAGGACCGGAGUGGACGCAUCACUGGUGUUCGGGUUGUCAUGCCAAUGGCACUGCCCGGUAGCUAAAUGCGGAAGAGAUAAGUGCUGAAAGCAUCUAAGCACGAAACUUGCCCCGAGAUGAGUUCUCCCUGACUCCUUGAGAGUCCUGAAGGAACGUUGAAGACGACGACGUUGAUAGGCCGGGUGUGUAAGCGCAGCGAUGCGUUGAGCUAACCGGUACUAAUGAACCGUGAGGCUUAACCUU
Molecule: ribosomal RNA, 315 nt
Filed under: Escherichia coli
Lineage: Bacteria; Pseudomonadati; Pseudomonadota; Gammaproteobacteria; Enterobacterales; Enterobacteriaceae
Description: partial 23S ribosomal RNA
Rfam family: Bacterial large subunit ribosomal RNA
Source: RNAcentral